UACGAAGGUGGCAAGCGUUGUUCGGAUUUACUGGGCGUACAGGGAGCGUAGGCGGUUGGAUAAGCCCUCCGUGAAAUCUCCAGGCUUAACCUGGAAAGUGCAGAGGGGACUGUUCAGCUAGAGGAUGGGAGAGGAGCGCGGAAUUCCCGGUGUAGCGGUGAAAUGCAUUGAUAUCCAUAGGAACUCCGGUGGCGAAGGCGGCACGCUGGACCUCUUCUGACGCUGAGGCGCGAAAGCCAGGGGAGCAAACGGG
Molecule: ribosomal RNA, 253 nt
Filed under: uncultured bacterium
Lineage: Bacteria
Description: partial 16S ribosomal RNA
Rfam family: Bacterial small subunit ribosomal RNA
Source: RNAcentral